GGGUUUAUAUAACUAUAUAUGGCUAGGUAUCACUUCACAAAAGGGACUCAUAACGGAGUUGUCGCAGGUUCAAAUCCUGCUUGACCCACCA
Molecule: transfer RNA, 91 nt
Filed under: Sulfuricurvum sp.
Lineage: Bacteria; Pseudomonadati; Campylobacterota; Epsilonproteobacteria; Campylobacterales; Sulfurimonadaceae
Description: tRNA-OTHER
Source: RNAcentral